This 730-nucleotide ribosomal RNA is filed under the name Boletus fraternus. Its description in RNAcentral is "eukaryotic LSU rRNA". The stretch from base 202 to 356 matches the Rfam family "5.8S ribosomal RNA". The record is from RNAcentral. Lineage: Eukaryota; Fungi; Basidiomycota; Agaricomycetes; Boletales; Boletaceae.
GCUGGCUUUCUUUGCAUGUGCACAUCUCGCUAUCUGUCGACCUUUCUCUCACUCAUUCAUUACACCUGUGCACCUAUUGUAGCUUCUCAAAAAAGAGAAUCUAUGUUUUUUCCUAUCACAUCUAUCGUAUGUCUACAGAAUGCUAUCAAAGCCCGUCGAUCAGGCCUUGUCCUGCUCGGCCUGCUUAAUGAAAUCAUAUACAACUUUCAGCAACGGAUCUCUUGGCUCUCGCAUCGAUGAAGAACGCAGCGAAUUGCGAUAAGUAAUGUGAAUUGCAGAUUUCCAGUGAAUCAUCGAAUCUUUGAACGCACCUUGCGCUCCUUGGUAUUCUGAGGAGCAUGCCUGUUUGAGUGUCAUCGAAUUCUCAACCAUCUCUUGAUUGAUUUCAAGAUUUUGGCUUGGAGUUGGGACUUGCUGGCACCCUUGUCAGCUCUCCUGAAAUUCAUUAGCAAUGGCAGCUUGCUAGUCUUUUGACGUGCAUGGCCUUUUGACGUGAUAAUGAUCGUCAUGGCUGGAGCGUCAUGCUAUUUAGAUUAUGCAUGAAUGGCCCAUGGCUUAUAAUAUUAUAUUAGCAUCACUUGUCUUGAAAGCAAUGCCAAGCUUUAGUUACUAGUCAGUUCACAAAGCUGGCGAAAGCAGAGCAAGGUUUUGUCUGGACUUGGACUUGUGUUUCUAAUUCUAUUCUAAACUUGACCUCAAAUCAGGCAGGACUACCCGCUGAACUUAAGCA